Molecule: long non-coding RNA, 1356 nt
Organism: Impatiens glandulifera
Lineage: Eukaryota; Viridiplantae; Streptophyta; Magnoliopsida; Ericales; Balsaminaceae
Exons: 2
Source: RefSeq, a predicted model, not a curated record
UGCUAGCAGUACUUUCUCACCUUGAUUCAUUCUGUUCUUAAACUACAAUGAAUCUUGCGGGGAGAGAAUGGGCUUCUUUCAUUUGUCAGGGUUGUAAUUCUCCCUCGAUCAAGUGGAAAUGAUUCUAGCCAAUGAUCUGAGCUCCGCUCAUCUAAGAAGGCAGCAAUUGGCGAUUAGUCUGUGCUUCCUCGCAUCUCAACAACAGUAAGAUCAAAUAGGGUUUUAUGUGUUGUUUCCUUAUCUAAGACAUAAACUGAUUCUUUUUUCGUGUGUGGUUAGUUUGUUAAUGUGAUGAACAGAAGAUCAUGGAACCGGCAGAAAUUAUUUGUCCUUCGUACUGUAACUGUUGACUUCUGUUUCUUCUAAGAGUGCGUGGUUUUUGGUUUUCAUUCCUUAAAGCCCUAGAUUUUCUGUAUUCAGAUUUGGGGUUUCUACGAGCAGACACGUCUGAAAUUGCCGUAUUUGCUGCUCUUGUCUUGUUCUGAAAUCCCUAAUUUUCUGUUACUUAUAUGUACUAACAUAUCUGUAUGGAAACAUAAUCAGAACUAUCUCAGCUGAACCCUGUAAUUUGGUAUAUGUUAUUGUGGCAUGCUUCUUCAUUAACAAAUAGCUAGGCCAAGUAUGUUAUUCUUAUCUGUUGGAGCAAAAUUGACUUUAAAAUGUUUUCUUUAAAGGGUUUUCAACCUCUUUUCAAUCCUUAAAGCCCUAGAUUUUCUGUAUUCAGAGUUGGGGAUUCUACUAUUAGAUACUGCUGAAAUCGCCUUAUUUGCUGUUUUUUCUUGUUCUGAAUAUCCUUAAUGUUCUAAAGAAAAUUGAUCCGCAAGACUCAAAUAGCUUCUGCGCAUUUGUAUUAGGUAACACAAUGAGUAACUUAUCUGUAUGGCAGCAUAAUCGGAGCUAUCUCAACUGAACUUUGUAAUUUGGUAGAAGAAGGAAGGAAGGUGCUGCAACGUGUCUCCACCCAGCCCUCGAUGUCAUGUUCUCCAUUUCCACCAAAAUGAGUCCCACCACAGAGUCGAGCUAUGACCCCUGCAAUAACAGCAACAAUGGUGAUGACUGCCAGCACCACCACCAGGAUCUCAAUCGAUCGGUUUGUAGAAUAGCUUCCAGGCUCAACCGCUGCCACCAUUUCCGACGGUGGCUCAACUAGAGGUGCUAGACUGUUUUGUACAUGCAUAUUAUAUCCACCACUGGCUUAAGCUAGUGCAAGUGCUCUUCUUAUAUAUGGUUGUAGGCUCAUCUCAAUGUCAAUCUUUUUCUUACACUUUAAUCAGUAGGAAUAAUAAAAUGCAUCUUUUGUUGUGUUUAUAGCUAGCUAUAAAUCUAUUUUAUGUUACCAAUUUGUCCUUACCGGUA